AGGUUUGAUGAAAAUUAAAAGCAGAUUUUAUAAGCAGAUAUUACGAUUUUAUAAUAGGGGCAGAAGCAUUUACAAUGAAAAGAACCCCUCGAUUAUUUGAGGAUCCACAAGAUAAUCUACUGAAGAGUUUCACAACCCAUGGACAGAAAUAGAAUUAACUGUCCGUGCCCGCAUAUUCACCUUCUUUGUGAGAAAGAUGCAGCAACUAGCACCUUCUCUUUCUCUGGCCUUGCUCUGCCUCCCAACUCCAAGAAGAGAGGAAGGCACCAGGAGACUUGAGAAUCUUGAGCUCCAGGUUGUGAUGCUAUUUGAACACCUACCCAGAAUUCAACAGAAAGGGAUAAAAAAGCAGAAGGAAUCAGACCGCAGUAAGUAAGGCUGCCCACCCUGAGAACACUGUUCCAGAGAGUUCUGCCACUCACCCAAUGCUCACAGACACAGGAACAUGAGUCAUCAAUGAGACACUGUUACCACCCGCCUUUCUCCCCCAAGCCUCCCUAAAAAAAAGGAGGAAAUGGCCUCUGACAUUGGGAUGUAUGAACAAGAGUUCCACACACGGCAGAAAGCAUGAGAACUUCUGCCACAGACUUCCGCACUGGUUAUAGGAUGCUGGCCUCAUGUUUGGUUUUCAAACCUCAAAUCUAAAGAAAAUGUCACUUGAAGUAUGAUUUGUUGUGAGCAAUAUAAAGGCUGAUUCAGAAGGAAAAACAAAGCCCAAAUAGAACUACUGUUAUAUGACUUCUAUGAUUUUUUAAAUAAUUAUAAUUUUUAAAAGGGAUAUUUGGCCAUUGAAAGAAGGAAAAUG
This 805-nucleotide long non-coding RNA is filed under the name Equus asinus (donkey). RNAcentral's name for it is "lncRNA (ENSEASG00005029314.1)". The record is from RNAcentral. Lineage: Eukaryota; Metazoa; Chordata; Mammalia; Perissodactyla; Equidae.